GGCUUGGUGGUGGAUGGUCCACACCUGCCUACUCUGAGCUAGCAUGGAGAUUGCAAGCAGGAGAAGUCUGUUCGAAUCAGGCCUGAGCCA
This is a non-coding RNA of Mycena vulgaris, 90 nucleotides long. The record is from the annotation of a GenBank genome assembly. NCBI's taxonomy places the organism in Eukaryota, Fungi, Basidiomycota, Agaricomycetes, Agaricales, Mycenaceae.